Molecule: non-coding RNA, 241 nt
Filed under: Photobacterium angustum
Lineage: Bacteria; Pseudomonadati; Pseudomonadota; Gammaproteobacteria; Vibrionales; Vibrionaceae
Source: RNAcentral
UAGCAUCUGCCCUGCGCUGGUUAACCAUGGGAUGGUACGGGAAUACGGUGAAAAUCCGUAACUGACGCGCAGCGGUAAUAGAGAACGAACGCACACGGAUGUAUUCCAAACACUGUUUUAACAAUAUGUUUAAUCAAUAAAGAUUGAAUGAUGUAUUGUUGAGAUGGGAAGUUGAUGCCUAGGCGACCUUCUUCAGGUCAUGCUCUUAAGUCCGAAUACCAACCAGCGGUAAAGCACUCUU